UACGUAGGGUGCGAGCGUUGUCCGGAAUUAUUGGGCGUAAAGAGCUUGUAGGCGGUCUGUCGCGUCUGCUGUGAAAAUCCGGGGCUCAACCCCGGACUUGCAGUGGGUACGGGCAGACUAGAGUGCGGUAGGGGAGACUGGAAUUCCUGGUGUAGCGGUGGAAUGCGCAGAUAUCAGGAGGAACACCGGUGGCGAAGGCGGGUCUCUGGGCCGAUACUGACGCUGAGGAGCGAAAGCGUGGGGAGCGAACAGG
Molecule: ribosomal RNA, 253 nt
Filed under: uncultured bacterium
Lineage: Bacteria
Description: partial 16S ribosomal RNA
Rfam family: Bacterial small subunit ribosomal RNA
Source: RNAcentral